Long non-coding RNA from Pezoporus occidentalis (night parrot), 4331 nucleotides. RefSeq lists it as uncharacterized. The transcript has 7 exons. Lineage: Eukaryota; Metazoa; Chordata; Aves; Psittaciformes; Psittacidae. The record is from RefSeq and is a predicted model, not a curated record.
AAGGUACCAGAGAGAAUUUAUGUUGGUCUUUUGGUGCUAUCCUGCAGCGGCGUAAUACGAACGUAAAGUCUGUAAAAUGAGAAACUCAGAUGUGUUUUUCUGGUUCCCAAUAAAUCUUUUUACCGUGAGGGCCUAAAGUAACUCCAAGACGGAAAAGACAAUAUCAGGCUUAUCCAAAUUAGCAAACCCCUUUGAUCUGAGCCCAGCCCUGUCUUACUUUGAUAGCUAUUAGUUACAUCUGGCAUUUUCAUAUGCUAAUUUCCCUCUCCCUUCCCCAUAUAUUAAUAGAAGUGGAAGUAAACAUAUAAACAAACUUCUUUUCAAUAGAUAAUCAACUUUUGAUAUAAAUGUGGUGGUGACACUGUCUUUCAGCAUAUGUUCCAAUCACCAUUAAACUUCAAAGCACUGUGCAAUCAAGACCUGCUUCUUCCCUACAACCAAAUCAGAGGAUUGAAUGCAGGAGGGCUGGCUAGAGAUGUGACUCUGCACAGAUGUGAGCAUCUCUUUCUCCCCAUCCCCUUUCCUUACUCAAAUCAGGGAUGUGGGAUGGAAAAAAAUCAGAGCUGCAGGAGGAAAAGAACAGGAAGCAGCCAGCAUCAAGAACAACCUCUUUUCUGCUUGGCAGAAGUGAAGAGCACUUGGAAAAAAAUAGUGAUGCUACCAUAAACUGAGUAAGUACUUCUACAAAUGACCUUUACUGCUGAGCCUGAGAGAGCUCGAGGCUUGCCCUGUGCCUGGGAUGUGUUGUGCCACCCUGUUGGCAGAGCUCUGAAAUUAGCCAGGCUUUUCCUGCCUUACCUCCUCUAACACACUUGCUCCAAGUGCAGGGACCUGGAGACUUCUUUCUCUUAGAAAUGCUUUCUAGACAGUAUUGGCAUGGGUAGACUUGCUGCAACCUUGGAGAUGCAAGCCAUAUCAGGCCUGCUUAUUUUUAAAGUAUGGCAGGGUUAUUUUCUUCCUGGAUGCUGCCCAUGUUCUUGUCCGGGUGGCUAGCAUGCUUUCAUAAUGUCUGAGAACGUUAAGGAGGAGAAAUUCUAACAUAACCAUGCCCUGAUAGUACACCUCCUCUUGCUCUUGGCCAUCCUGUCUGCUGUUAGAGCUGUGUGUGCUGGGAGGCAGUGAAGAGUUCUGUUAAUUCCAGAGAAAUUCUGGAUCAGAUAGGUCUCUGUUGGAGGUCUGGGCUGAAUUACUUCUGCAUCCGUCAGCAAGCACAAGACAGGAUGGCAUGCAGAUUGUUUUUUUUUGCGCUGAGGGCUGUCUUUGACUCCCUGAAUAAGAAAGCAUCUUUACUCCCUGCCUCUAAUGAGCUGAGAGCUCCUGGUUUCCAGCUCUGCAGUGCAUGUGUGAAAUUGGCCAGCAGGAUCUGAGCUGGGCCUCAAGCUACUGCCUGGAUUCUCUUUCAAGGCUCCUCGAGCCUCACCCUCAACAUGUCCAAACAGCAGCAUGCUUAAAGAGGACCUCUAUGAGUGCACUGCAUGAGCCUCUGAGCAUGUGGCGAGAAUGUUAAUUAUUGCGUGCUUGCCUUUGGUUCAAGGUGCGUUUCUGUAAGGUCAUGGCUGUGCUUAUCACUGUGGCCUCCAACCAGCACAUCACGUAUCUGAGAAUUUCCUUAAGAGCAUUCUUCACCUACAAGCAGGUACAAAAGUCUUUGCUUUCAAGAGGAAGAGACCUCACUUCACUGAGUGCCUAGCUGGAAGUCGAACGGGUUUUGAUCCCUACAUUGAAAGCAAUUGAAGCAGUCCAGGUUACAGAUGAGUCCAGAAAACUUCACAGUGAUUCUGCUGUUGUAAAUGUUAUAUUGCCUACACUAAAACCCCCAUAGUUGCUCGCAUUUACAACUUAAUUACUUGUUAUGUUAAAAAUUAGUUACGUUGCUUGAGAAUAAUGUACUUAAAUUGCAUUACAAGCAUUGUUUUGGCACUGAUUCUGAGGUUUGUUUUUUUUUUUACAUAGCCAAGUAGUUUGCUUGAAUAUAAUCAACUGUUUGCUUGAGCUCAAACUUGAGUUUUGCAGAAUCAAACCCCAUAUUUUUGUUGUAGGCUCUGAAACUGUGACAUUGCUGUAUGUGUUGCAUGACAGCUGUCAUUUUUAUAUUAAUAGUAUAAUCUAUCGAGAACUUUGGUAUAAACACUGUAGUUGACAUGUUUAUGACAAAGAAUUGUAUGUAGCAUUUAGUGCUGGAGGCUUUAGCACUGUGUCUGAGCAGCAGUUCUCUAACGUGCCCGUUUAUUUCUCCCACACUCAUGUUUACCUUGUUUUCCCACAUCCUGAAAUGUCAGGAGCUGCACACUUCAGCUCAGGCCACUGUGCCUAACAAGAUGAGAUUUAGCUAAUACAACAAAAAGCAAAUUCCUGGGUGGAAGUGAGGUCUGUGCUGAUGCUACUACUUUUCUUUUGAAUCGGCUGGUUUUACGACCGAUUUAUCUGAUGGUGUGUCAGAGCGUAUUUCAGCAUGACUUUGAGUAAGGUGUAGCUGGCUGGUGUCUCAGUGUAGACCCUGGAGUAACAGUGUGGCAGAGCUGUGAAGCUGCAGUGUCCCAGUGAAUUGGUGGUGGUUUGGUAGAAUGGCAGGAAGCUGAGAUCUGGGUAGGACACAACAUACUGAUCCUCUUUUGAGUGCUGUUGAGAGUGGCUGCAUAGAAAGAGUGGGGUCAGGAAGAAAAAUGUUGCAUUUGCUGCAGUUACUACUCGUGUCUGACCUGGAUCUAGGCACAGGCUUGCUCACCAACUCCUCACUUGUCAUGUCCAUUAAACACAGGCAGGUCUGUAGACCAUCUCUCUAGAGCCUCCAGAUCCCAGCAGUGGAAGGCAAGCCAGCCUGAUGGGCAGCAGGAGCAGAAUGGCAACUGUGAGAUGCUGCUUCUGAUCAGCCUUUAGUAGAGCUGCCACUUUGGGGUUGGGGCAAUGGUCUAACUUCUGGAGGGAAGUGAUAGCAGCAGCAGCCAGUGGCUUUUGUGGCAGAGCCAAGGAAGGCACUGAGACAAAGUGCUUCUAACAGUUCAUCUGAAUUCUUCAUACACAGUGGCAGUUCAAAAGCAAUUAGCAUCCCUGCCAGAGCUUGGCUGCAGCACUGUGGAGAGCACUGCUGGGGAGGUGACAGAUCUGCUCUCCAUCCGUGCUCCACCAAGUGAUCACCAGGCUCAUGGGGAGGAGCCAUGGCACACUGUCCCCAGCUGAUCAGAGCCCAAUUGUGGAGUGCUGCUGCUGUGCUUGAUCCCAGCAUUAUGACAUGGGCAGGUAGCAGGGAUGUCCCCCUCUCCCUUGCCAGGAAUGGGAAAGUGACCAAGAGGAGCAGAGAAAUACAAAGAGAUUUGACAGUAUGCGACAUCCCAACUGCACCGGGCAAUGUAACUGUGCUCAGCUCUCCCAUCAUGUGUAUUGUUUCUGGCACUCCCUCCAAAAAACUGUGUUGCAAAACAGGGGCUCACAGUCAAUUGUACCAUCUGUUGGAAAGGUCAUUAGCUCCAUUUGCGUGCCCUUGUGCCUAAUUUGCAGAUGCAGAAUAGUGACCCAGUUGCACGCAGGUGAGACUCUACCUUUGACUUUUUCCAAAUGAAGCUACAAAUGGCCACAAAUUUUGAUGGUUCUCCAAAAGAUGUGCUCUGUUUGUACCAUCUCAGUGCUGGGACUGGGAGGGCUCAUUGGUUCAAAGGGGGAGUUGCUGCUACAGCCAGCUUGGUGUUACACAGCAUCCUGACCCCAAACGUGUGAUUCUUAUUGACAACGUCAGUCAGAAUUGCUAGCUUCUGCAGUACUGUGACACCUGCAGCUCCUUUUGGAAAUAAUCUACUGACAUGCAAGUAUAGGUUUCUAAUUCAGAAGGGAGCAAAAGAAGGGAUGGAAAAUUGUCUUUGUGCUGGAUUUAAUAUUUACAUCUCAGACUUUGCCAAAUAGGUUUGUUAUUUAUAGCAGUAGCAGCAGUAAUAUUCAUCAGUUGCCAUGGACAUACUAAGCUUACCAAGUACAACAGUGAACCACAGUCUGCAUGGGAAUAAUUUUAAAAUGCUUUCAUGCUGAGUGAAAUAGUUUGUAUUAAAUGUAAGAGUUAAAUGCUAGGUUUCUCUAGUGCCAUUUCUGGGAUUUCAGAUAUAAAAAUGGAAAUAAUUUAUUGGAAAUGUAAUGGGAAGGGCAGUGCUAUAGACAAGAACCCUAAAGAACUUACUUAAAGAACUAGGUACCAUUUAGGUUCACCAUUUACUGUGCUUAAAAAGCAGCAUAUAUAAUGAGAACACCUAGAAUUCCAUUAAUAAGGAUAUAUUUUUGAUGAGCUGAAGAACUAGGUUGAAAGUAACAUUUUGUAUGUUACCUCUUAAUGGAAGCACAUUUAGGGA